This is a long non-coding RNA of Asparagus officinalis (garden asparagus), 583 nucleotides long. RefSeq lists it as uncharacterized. The record is from RefSeq and is a predicted model, not a curated record. The transcript has 2 exons. NCBI's taxonomy places the organism in Eukaryota, Viridiplantae, Streptophyta, Magnoliopsida, Asparagales, Asparagaceae.
CCCAACUUAAGUCGCAUUCAAGUGUUCAAUGCAUUUGAGAAGAUAAUGGAUAGCAACCCGGAAAAGUUUUAUUUGUUGAAGUCACUUCCUGAUGAUGAAAAAAGAGAUUUUAUUCUCUUUAUUCUUAAGGAGUAGUUUCUAGUUUUCAGGUCGGACUACUUUUCUUCAUCUCAAUGUUAUUCUUCACAAUAUUUUUAACCGAAUAUUUCUAAUUUUUUGAUGAUUUCUUAUGAAUGCAUUAGGGUUUGGUGAUUUUGAUGGAUUCUUAGCUAAUUCAAGUAAGGAGUGCUUGUCUCAUCUCAAAGGUCAAGCGUGAUAUUGUGCUGAGAGUGCUUGUGCUUUGGUCUCACCUUUUUCGGUUCUCAUUGUCAUUUGAUAUAGCUUGCUGCUUUGUCGAAUGAUUGUAGCUUAUAUGUAAGGGUUAAUUGCAUAUACUCUCUGUGGUAUCGUUUUUAAAUUGCAACCCCUGUAGUGUACACUGUUGCAGAUGUGCCCUUGGGUUAAAAUUGUGACUGUUUUACCUUUGGACUUACUAAUUUCUAGCUGAAGUCAAACAAAAGGAUAUUGGAUUCGUUUGAUGUUA